GACGAACGCUGGCGGCGUGCUUAACACAUGCAAGUGGAGCGACGAACCAGGGCUUGCCCUGGGGCAGAGCCGCGAACGGGUGAGUAACACGUGGGUAACGUGCCCCGAUGACUGGGACAACCCGGGGAAACCCGGGCUAAUACCGGAUGUGCCCCCUCACAUCAGUGAGGUGUGUAAAGGAAGCUUCGGCCUCCGCAUCGGGAUCGGCCCGCGGCCCAUUAGCUUGUUGGUGAGGUAACGGCUCACCAAGGCUGCGAUGGGUAGCUGGUCUGAGAGGACGAUCAGCCACACUGGGACUGAGACACGGCCCAGACUCCUACGGGAGGCAGCAGUGGGGAAUCUUGCGCAAAGCGCGAAAGCGUGACGCAGCAACGCCGCGUGGGGGAAGACGGCCUUCGGGUUGUAAACCCCUUUCAGUUGGGACGAAGGUCGGGCGGUUAACAGCCGUUCCGGCUGACGGUACCUUCACAAGAAGCCCCGGCUAACUACGUG
RNAcentral lists this ribosomal RNA (492 nucleotides) under uncultured bacterium. Its description in RNAcentral is "partial 16S ribosomal RNA". It matches the Rfam family "Bacterial small subunit ribosomal RNA", at positions 28 to 507 of the family's 1533-position model. The record is from RNAcentral.